This 4700-nucleotide long non-coding RNA is filed under the name Nicotiana benthamiana. RNAcentral's name for it is "long non-coding RNA (NBEN_LNC023688)". The record is from RNAcentral. Lineage: Eukaryota; Viridiplantae; Streptophyta; Magnoliopsida; Solanales; Solanaceae.
UUUCAAAACCUAGAGACUUCUUUUUACUCUCUCCUCUCUCUCACCCUCUCUCAAGCCGCCGCCGCCCCACCGCUGCUUCCACGACAGCGCCGCCGUCCUCUGGUGGCUAAACGGCCUCCAUCUAACAUCAUCCCCUUCCUUUCACUCCUCUCAUUCCAAAUCCAUAGCCCAAAAAUUCCAAAUCUCCACCAAUAAUCAACAAAAGAAACCCUAAUCACGCCGUCACCAAUGCACCACCCCUUCCGCCGUCGUCCAAAGACCUCAAAAUUCUCACCAUCUCUUCCUCUCACUCCCCUCAUUCUAAAUCCACAACCCAAAUUCCCCAAAUCUCCACAAAAAAUUGACAAAUCCAAACCCUAGUGUCGUCGCCUAUGCCCCGCCACACGCCACCGCCCAAAACCCCUCAAAAUUUCACUAGGUCCUCCUCUCCUCAUACUCUUUCCCAUUCCAUACCCCAAAAUCCUUAAAACCCUCUACCCCACCUUAUGCUACUACUACUGCCGCCACCACCAUGCCUGCCGCUGCCCUUGAAACACCAGACCAACCUCUUGUAACUGAUUUCUAGCAUAAACACGACCCCACAACACCCUUUUCUCUUUGGCAUGAUUUGGAAUCUACUACUAUGCCGAAGCUCAUUUUUUCCAGCACAUGCCAUCGAGGAAACAGUGCUUGGGGGUCGACUUGCUGCGUUUUGCAUCGUAUUUGAGAGAUGAGGGCAAUCUAAUUAGUUGUUACGGUAAAAUCCUAGUUCCCUUUUUAUUUUUCUGAUUUUUGCUUCUCUAAUUGGGUUUAGGUUUAGUUUAAAUCGUAUAUUUCUUGUCGAUAGUUAAUUGCUCGUUUUGAUCCUUGGCGAUUCGAUUAGAUCAAGUUCAUUUUUUGCGUAGUUGCUAAAUUUUCUUUUUGAUUCAGCCAUGAAUCGUUUCUGUGAUCGCAAGAUGAAUCAAUUGUUUCCAUACAAUUAGGCUCUGAUUUGCGGUUAUUAAUAGUCGUUUAUUUAGUUGUUGUUAGUUGUUGUCGGAUAGUUAACAAUGCUCGUUUAAUUUCUGUUACGCGCUUUAGCUGGUGAAUUCAGUUAUUUUCUAUGUUAGUGUGUACAAAUCGAAUUAAUUGCAAUCUAGUUUGUUUGAAUACUUGGUUCGGUUACCUUUUAAGUCUUGUUUCUGUUGUAUUAAUCUAUAAUUGGUUAGUUUGAAUGUGGAGUAUGUUAGCUUAAAUUUCAGUCAUGAUAAAAGCUGAAUAUAUGAGUGUAGAGUACGUGUUUGGUUUCUUUUACUGUUUUUGGAGUUGUUAGGAGUACAUCUACUCCUUGCCUGUGUCUUCAUAAUUUGAUUAGUUUGAAUGUAUGAGUGUGUUAGCUUAAAUUUCAGUCAUGAUAAAAGCUGAAUAUUUGAGUGUAGGAUACUCGUUUGGUUGCUUUUUACUAUUUAAAGGGCUGUUCGGAGUACACUGCUCCAAACACUAUUCAUAGUUGGUGAAAAAUUAUCUUUUAGACAGAUUUUUAACCAAAAAAUCUAUCCUUUGAAUAGUUGGGAUAGAUUUUAGGUUGAAAAUCCGUCCUUUGGACAGAUUCAAUGAAAUAAUUCAAUCAUUAUCCUUUCCUAUAAAAGAAGAGGUCUUUCCUCACUUGGGGGGGNNNNNNNNNNNNNNNNNNNNNNNNNNNNNNNNNNNNNNNNNNNNNNNNNNNNNNNNNNNNNNNNNNNNNNNNNNNNNNNNNNNNNNNNNNNNNNUCUAAGGUAACUGGAAUUGUUAUUUGUGUAAGCUAAAAUUGUGAGUUUGAAAAAGUUUUCUUAUUAAAAAUACUUUCAAAAGAUAAAAUCUUUUAGAACUUGUUCUGGGCUUCUACUCUAUGAUUUUUGGCUACUCAAACAUUCAUCCCACUGCUGAUUUGCUGCUGUUUUCUGUCUUUACUGCUAUUUCUGUUGCUAUUUUUGUUUAUUCUAGUGCUGUAUUUAUUUUACGUGACCCAGGUAAAUCUUAAAUUCUGUAUUGCAGAUUUUUAUAUCAAACGGUUGAAGAUAUAGACUUGUCUUGGCUCACUGAAUUUGUUUGAUAUACCUUAUUGAACGAAAACAUUAUAUUGAAGCAUUGUUCAAUUGUGUGUAGAAUAACCAAAGUAAAUUUUACUAUAAAGUAAAGAUGCGAUGGGCAUCUAUAAUUAGACGCGGGAUUGGAGGGAGAGAAUAUUUUCUAUUUACACAAUUUAUACUCCACAAUCUACACCAAAAUAAUACGCAAUUCAUACCCAAAUUUCUGCAAAAUCAUUGUCUAAUGAUGAUUUUUUCAGUUUUUCCAUAAAAACACAACAAAUUCAAAAUAAAAUCCUUUUAGAAUAAAUCGAUAGCAAAUGAAUGUGAAGUAUUCUUAAUCAGAUCUGAACAUAUAGUAAAUUUCUAAAAAAAAUUAUAUGAUUGCGAAUUUGAGAAUACGAUUGAAUUACAGUGUCAAAAUUGAUGAUAAUGCUUCAGUGCAAUGGUCGGUAGGAUAGUUUCGGGAAAUAUAUAGAUUUUGAUGUUGACAAAAUUAUAAUUAAUGAAGAUUCAAGUUAUAGUAUUGUGAAUGCCGCAAUCGCAUAACACUUAAUGAUAGAUAUUUUUGUAAAACUCAUCGAGAUCAAAUACAGAGCGAACGACCGGCAUCCUUCAAUAAAAAUCUAAACAAUAUAGGUGUGCAAGUGUAUAUGAAGACGCAUGAAAGUACAUGAUUUGAUAGGAACUCAAAUGUCCUGUACUAGUUUAAAGAUAUUUUCAUAUGAGUAGUGUUACCUCUUGCAUUUCGUAUGUUAAAAGUUGUCUUCAGUUCAUUGACAUAGACUCGGGGAUGAGAUUAUUUUGAGAUUAAUGUAUUUACGCUAUUUAUAAUAAGCGAGAAAUAAGUGUUAUGAAGGAUGAAUGGUACAAAAUUAAAGAAAAAUGAGUUUCGAUGAAAUGGUCAAUUUGGUAUAAAAUACGGGGGUUGAGGAAUAAUACCGAUAAUUUAAAUAGUACCAUGAAAGGUAUCAUAUGACCAUGAUAGUAUAAUAUAUAAAUUAUAUAUAUAAAGUAUGUUAAGAAUAAAUAAAAUUUUAAAUAAUUUGAAAUUAUGUAGAUAAUUAAUUAAUUAUCGGGUAUCUAACUAAUAAAAUAAUUAUAAGAUAAUAUUAAAAAUCCUCCUACGUGGCAGCACCACCAUAAUCUUAGGAACAACUCUUAAAGUCAUUUGUCUAUGUGACAACUUGUCUUAAGGCUUAAAUAAUACACCUUUUUGCAAAAAGAAAUCAGAUAUGUGUUAAGGACAUAAAAAGGAUCAUAUAUCCAUAAUUGCAGGACCAAGUGUGUAGGAUUACAUUGUCAAGUGUUCUUGCAUACCUAAGAUUGGAGCAGAAAUCCUAGUAGUAUACCUUUUGGUGGGUAAUUACUAAUCCCAAAGUGUGGCAAGAACAAGGAAAAUCUAGUGGAGGAAAUUGCUUAAUAUAGACUCGAGUAUAUAAUGGCUAUCCUUUCUUUCAAUUGACAUGACUAAAUAAAAUAUAUAUUUAACUAAAGAGGUUAAAAAAAGCAUAAUUCUUAUAAAUAUUCCACUCUUAUAGUUGAUGGUUGUUAUAUUAUUGAUUACGUUGUGAAUAGUUUGAUUGUAAAUGAGUAUAAAUUUGUUCUUAAGUUCCAGUCGUCCAUUUGAUUUAUUGCGUAAAUGCAUAGGUAUAGUAAAGAAUAGGUGAGUUAUAAUUGUGUUCCUCAAGUGGAAUCUAUUCUAAAUUAUUAGAUAUAUAUUAGACAUAAUAGCAUACUAGGUAGUCUAAGGUAACUGGAAUUGUUAGUUGUCCUUUUUGAGAUAGGUAUUCCAAGAGGCUAAUUGAAAAUAAGGAUUUGAGUAUAUAUUUGUUACUUCCAUUAGUGGCAUGUUUUCGCUGGUCAGCAGUUACUAUCGGUUGGGUAGUUAUGUAUUAUUAUUUAUUAUCGGUUAAGUAGUUAUGCAUAUUUAUUUACCACCGAGCCAUGGUCAGUUGGAUAGUUACAUAUUUACCACCGAGCUACGAUCGAUCGGACAAUUAUGCAUUUAUCACAGUGCUAUGGCCGAUCGGGCAGUUACCAUUGAUCAGUUGCGCAGUUCACGCCACGAGAAUGAUAUGAUCAGAACUACUAUAUUAUAAUUUUAUUUAUUUAUACGGAUGAGUUUUAUUCUACAUGGUACGGCCCUCAGCGGCAUGUCAGAUGUUAUAAGUUGACUCUUAUCCCUAUCCGAGAUAGUAUCUUAUUAUUACUAUGUUUUAUUUCUGCCUUACAUACUCGGAACAUUCUUCAUACUGACGAUCCUUUUCCCGGGGCAUUGUGUUUCAUGGUACACAAGUGUAGAUAGGCGAGGUGAGGACUAUCCGCUGUAGGCUGCCUCCAUAUAUCGGCUUUUGGUUGGUGAGCUCCACAUCUUUUUGGAGUAUUGCAGAGUCAUGUUCUACAUAUGUUACUUUAUUUUAUGAAGAUAUCGGGGACCCUGCCCGGACUUAUAUAUUAUGAUCAUGUUCUUUUAGAGAUUUUGCAGACAGUAUCUUGUGUAUAACUUUCCGAGUCAUGUUCUACAUAUGUUACUUUAUUUUAUGAAGAUAUCGGGGACCCUGCCCCGACUUAUAUAUUAUGAUCAUGUUUUUUUUAGAGAUGUUGCAGACAGUGUCUUGUAUAUAACUUUAGGUAUGACAUGUUAACAACUUUGACAAUUGUUGAGAUACAAGA